This 404-nucleotide long non-coding RNA is filed under the name Dermacentor andersoni. RNAcentral describes it as "uncharacterized LOC126525974". Lineage: Eukaryota; Metazoa; Arthropoda; Arachnida; Ixodida; Ixodidae. The record is from RNAcentral.
UGAAGCUGGCGUUAAGCACACCCCAUACGUGGCCCGAUCCCGAAGAUAGUGCAAUGCCGGGCCGACCCGCGGCGGAGGUGAAGCAGGCGUUAAGCACUCCCCAUACGUGGGCCGAUCCCGCAGAUAGUGCAAUGCCGGGCCGACCCGCGGCGGAGGUGAAGCUGGCGUUAAGCACUCCCCAUACGUUGGUAGAUCCCGAAGAUAGUGCAAUGCCGGGCCGACCCGCGGCGGAGGUGAAGCUGGUGUUAUAUACUCCCCAUACGUGGACAGAUCCCGAAGAUAGUGCAAUGCCGGGCCGACCCGCGGCGGAGGUGAAGCUGGUGUUAUAUACUCCCCAUACGUGGGCAGAUCCCGAAGUUAGUGCAAUGCAAGGCCGACCCGUGGCGGAGGUGAAGCUGGCGUUA